AGUGAACGCUGGCGGUAGGCCUAACACAUGCAAGUCGAACGGCAGCACAGUAAGAGCUUGCUCUUACGGGUGGCGAGUGGCGGACGGGUGAGGAAUACAUCGGAAUCUACUUUUUCGUGGGGGAUAACGUAGGGAAACUUACGCUAAUACCGCAUACGACCUACGGGUGAAAGCAGGGGAUCUUCGGACCUUGCGCGAUUGAAUGAGCCGAUGUCGGAUUAGCUAGUUGGCGGGGUAAAGGCCCACCAAGGCGACGAUCCGUAGCUGGUCUGAGAGGAUGAUCAGACACACGGGAACUGAGACACGGUCCAGACUCCUACGGGAGGCAGCAGUGGGGAAUAUUGGACAAUGGGCGCAAGCCUGAUCCAGCCAUACCGCGUGGGUGAAGAAGGCCUUCGGGUUGUAAAGCCCUUUUGUUGGGAAAGAAAAGCAGCAGGUUAAUACCCCGCUGUUCUGACGGUACCCAAAGAAUAAGCACCGGCUAACUUCGUG
RNAcentral lists this ribosomal RNA (492 nucleotides) under uncultured bacterium. Its description in RNAcentral is "partial 16S ribosomal RNA". It matches the Rfam family "Bacterial small subunit ribosomal RNA", at positions 29 to 507 of the family's 1533-position model. The record is from RNAcentral.